RNAcentral lists this ribosomal RNA (172 nucleotides) under uncultured bacterium. RNAcentral describes it as "partial 16S ribosomal RNA". It matches the Rfam family "Bacterial small subunit ribosomal RNA", at positions 338 to 524 of the family's 1533-position model. The record is from RNAcentral.
CCUACGGGAGGCAGCAGUGGGGAAUAUUGCACAAUGGAGGAAACUCUGAUGCAGCGACGCCGCGUGAGUGAAGAAGGUCUUCGGAUCGUAAAACUCUGUCCUUGGUGACGAAAAAAAUGACGGUAGCCAAGGAGGAAGCCCCGGCUAACUACGUGCCAGCAGCCGCGGUAAA